This 204-nucleotide unclassified non-coding RNA is filed under the name Hevea brasiliensis (rubber tree). The record is from RNAcentral. Lineage: Eukaryota; Viridiplantae; Streptophyta; Magnoliopsida; Malpighiales; Euphorbiaceae.
ACUCGCUCAGCGAACAAACAUUUUCUAAGACUGAUUUCGCAAAAAUACGGCCAAGAAACUCCCCUGCUUUCGGAGCAUCAUUAACUGCGUCUUCCAGCAAAGAGAGCACAGUUUUGAAUCCUUCGAUGAGCUGAAGAUGACCUAGCAAGCGAUCAUGAGAUUUGCAGAGGUUGACCAAAAGCUUAGCUAACAGAUCUCUCUCCA